RNAcentral lists this ribosomal RNA (253 nucleotides) under uncultured bacterium. RNAcentral's name for it is "partial 16S ribosomal RNA". It matches the Rfam family "Bacterial small subunit ribosomal RNA", at positions 524 to 776 of the family's 1533-position model. The record is from RNAcentral.
UACGUAGGGGGCAAGCGUUGUCCGGAAUUAUUGGGCGUAAAGCGCGUGUAGGCGGUCCGGUAAGUCCGCUGUGAAAGUCGAGGGCUCAACCCUCGAAUGCCGGUGGAUACUGUCGGGCUUGAGUACGGGAGAGGCGAGUGGAAUUCCUGGUGUAGCGGUGAAAUGCGCAGAUAUCAGGAGGAACACCGAUUGCGAAGGCAGCUCGCUGGAACGUUACUGACGCUGAGACGCGAAAGCGUGGGGAGCAAACAGG